RNAcentral lists this ribosomal RNA (167 nucleotides) under uncultured bacterium. Its description in RNAcentral is "partial 16S ribosomal RNA". It matches the Rfam family "Bacterial small subunit ribosomal RNA", at positions 1334 to 1500 of the family's 1533-position model. The record is from RNAcentral.
GCUAGUAAUCGUAGGUCAGCAUACUACGGUGAAUACGUUCCCGGGCCUUGUACACACCGCCCGUCAAACCAUGAGAGUUGGCAACACCCGAAGUCGGGAGUCUAACCGCAAGGAGGACGCCGCCGAAGGUGGGGCUGAUGAUUAGGGUUAAGUCGUAACAAGGUAGC